CAGUGAUAAACUGGAGGAAGGUGGGGAUGACGUCAAGUCAUCAUGGCCCUUACGACCAGGGCUACACACGUGCUACAAUGGCGCAUACAAAGAGAAGCGACCUCGCGAGAGCAAGCGGACCUCAUAAAGUGCGUCGUAGUCCGGAUUGGAGUCUGCAACUCGACUCCAUGAAGUCGGAAUCGCUAGUAAUCGUGGAUCAGAAUGCCACGGUGAAUACGUUCCCGGGCCUUGUACACACCGCCCGUCACACCAUGGGAGUGGGUUGCAAAAGAAGUAGGUAGCUUAACCUUCGGGAGGGCGCUUACCACUUUGUGAUUCAUGACUGGGGUGAAGUCGUAACAAGGUAACCGUAGGGGAACCUGCGGUUGGAUCACC
Molecule: ribosomal RNA, 375 nt
Filed under: Salmonella enterica
Lineage: Bacteria; Pseudomonadati; Pseudomonadota; Gammaproteobacteria; Enterobacterales; Enterobacteriaceae
Also listed under: 3 other names
Description: bacterial SSU rRNA
Rfam family: Bacterial small subunit ribosomal RNA
Source: RNAcentral